This is a long non-coding RNA of Arabidopsis thaliana (thale cress), 369 nucleotides long. RefSeq annotates it as other RNA. The record is from RefSeq. Lineage: Eukaryota; Viridiplantae; Streptophyta; Magnoliopsida; Brassicales; Brassicaceae. The transcript has 2 exons.
GUCUUCUAUAUAACAACCUUAAGGAGCUAAGAUGAGUCUCCCGCCUAAAGUCAGAACAAGCGUUGUCUUUUGUCUGGGAUAUAGUAGUUAGCACCAAUCGUCUUUCUCUUACGUGGAUUGUCUGCCACAACUUCAGCUUUAGCCACCUCUGCUACAACCACUUCUGCCACCUUUGCUACAGCACCCUCUGCUACAGCCACCUUUGCCUCAACGUCUUCCUCUUCAACAAUGUCCUGUGGGUUUCGAUUUACGGUCUACUAGCUGCAGGGGAUUCAGAAGGUGCCAAGGCAUUGAUAUAAAAAAUUCCAAUAGAUGAUAAAGAUGUACAACAUAUCAUCGAAGAAAGUCGGUCUGCAUUUUCUCAAGCAC